Molecule: RNA transcript, 732 nt
Organism: Octodon degus (degu)
Lineage: Eukaryota; Metazoa; Chordata; Mammalia; Rodentia; Octodontidae
Gene name: nuclear ubiquitous casein and cyclin-dependent kinase substrate 1 pseudogene
Exons: 1
Source: RefSeq, a predicted model, not a curated record
CGGCUGGUUUGAUUCAUCCAUUCUGAAGAGACGGGGAGCGGGGGGCUCGUCUGAUCCAGGGGCCCAGAACCAAGGAGUGGCGGAGUUUGAGAAGCUAGCAGCUCGGGGUUCGGCGACAGCAGCCCCAUCGGCCGAAGUUCGGGGCGGGGGGCGAGCGCUCGGGGUUGGGGGGGUCCUGGUCUUUGGGCUUCUCGACUCGGUCCUGUUUCGACAGCGAACAUGUCUCGGCCUGUCAGAAAUAGGAAGGUCGUUGAUUAUUCACAGUUUCAGGAGUCUGAUGAUGCAGAUGAAGAUUAUGGAAGAGAUUCAGGUCCUCCCACUAAGAAAAUCCGAUCAUCUCCUCGAGAAGCUAAAAAUAAGAGGCGAUCUGGAAAGAAUUCACAGGAAGACAGUGAAGACUCAGAAGAGAAAGAUGUGAAGGCCAAGAAGGAGGACUCUCAUUCCGCAGAGGACAGUGAAGAUGAAAAAGAUGAUCAUAAAAAUGUACGCCAACAGAGGCAGGCAGCAUCUAAAGCAGCUUCUAAACAGAGAGAGAUGCUCCUGGAAGAUGCGGGUAGUGAGGAGGAGCAAGAGGAAGAGGACGAGGCACCAUUCCAGGAGAAAGAUUCUGGCAGUGAUGAGGAUUUCCUAAUGGAAGACGAUGAUGACAGUGACUAUGGCAGUUCAAAAAAGAAAAACAAAAAGAUGGUUAAGAAAUCCAAACCUGAGCGAAAAGAAAAGAAAAUGCCCAAA